Molecule: ribosomal RNA, 494 nt
Filed under: uncultured bacterium
Lineage: Bacteria
Description: partial 16S ribosomal RNA
Rfam family: Bacterial small subunit ribosomal RNA
Source: RNAcentral
GACGAACGCUGGCGGCGUGCUUAACACAUGCAAGUCGAACGGAAAGGCCUGCUUUCCCUUGUGGAUUGCGGGUACUCGAGUGGCGAACGGGUGAGUAACACGUGAGUGAUCUGCCCCCAACUUGGGUAUAAGCCUGGGAAACUGGGUCUAAUUCCCGAUAGGACUGCAGGGUGGUGCCUGUGGUGGAAAACGAUUUUCUAGUGGUUGGGGAUGAGCUCGCGGCCUAUCAGCUGGUUGGUGGGGUAAUGGCCUACCAAGGCGGCGACGGGUAGCCGGCCUGAGAGGGUGGGCGGCCACAUUGGGACUGAGAUACGGCCCAGACUCCUACGGGAGGCAGCAGUGGGGAAUAUUGCACAAUGGGCGGAAGCCUGAUGCAGCGACGCCGCGUGGGGGAUGACGGCCUUCGGGUUGUAACCUCCUUUCGACCGCGAGGAAGCCACCUGGUUGGAAGGGUGGUGACGGUAGUGGUAGAAGAAGCACCGGCUAACUACGUG